GUGAGCUGGCGGACGGCUUUCGAACGCAUCGAAGCGUUUGAGGAAACUCCGCCCACCAGAGCAGAACUGCAACGCCCUCAAGGGCGUAAGACGAGAGUCUUGGCUCCGAAACAGAAACGAAACGUCCACCCAACGAAAGGACGAUGAUACAUGCUAAGUUGUUGAGGAUGUUAGGGUGGAAACGGUGAAACGGUCGCCCUGCAGGGUGAAAGGGCAAAUAGGUGCCUAUGAUCUUCUGCAAAAGGCACGGGUAGCCCGUUUAGCUGAAUGCCGUCUUUGAACAGAAGGCGGGUUACGCCCAGCACAC
RNAcentral lists this RNase P RNA (307 nucleotides) under Candidatus Bathyarchaeota archaeon. RNAcentral describes it as "RNase P RNA component". It matches the Rfam family "Archaeal RNase P". Rfam says of the family: Ribonuclease P (RNase P) is a ubiquitous endoribonuclease, found in archaea, bacteria and eukarya as well as chloroplasts and mitochondria. Lineage: Archaea; Thermoproteati; Candidatus Bathyarchaeota. The record is from RNAcentral.